RNAcentral lists this ribosomal RNA (240 nucleotides) under Triticum aestivum (bread wheat). RNAcentral's name for it is "partial small subunit ribosomal RNA". Lineage: Eukaryota; Viridiplantae; Streptophyta; Magnoliopsida; Poales; Poaceae. The record is from RNAcentral.
AUGGACGCCAGGCAUGCCACCCUGUGUUUCCUCCUAGUUCUCGUGUUGCACGGAAAUCCUACUGCAGAGGCCGAGGAUUGCAGAUACAGGAACGAUAAGCUGCCGCUAUGCCAGGACGUUUUGUGCAAGACACGGUGCUGGCUGGAGGGGGCGGUGGUGAACGCCGAAGUAAAAGAGUCCAGAUGCGUGGGAUCAGGGCCAGGCUCCACCUGCUACUGCCUCUUCUGCAAAAAAGAUUGA